RNAcentral lists this non-coding RNA (25 nucleotides) under Rattus norvegicus (Norway rat). Lineage: Eukaryota; Metazoa; Chordata; Mammalia; Rodentia; Muridae. The record is from RNAcentral.
UGGGCCAAGAAGGCAGGAUCUGUAA